GCCUUAGUAGCUUAGUCUAAAAGCGCCGGUUUUGUAAUCCGGAGAUCGAAGGUUAAAAUCCUUCCUAGUGCC
RNAcentral lists this transfer RNA (72 nucleotides) under Pterocryptis cochinchinensis. RNAcentral describes it as "tRNA-Thr". It matches the Rfam family "tRNA". Rfam says of the family: Transfer RNA (tRNA) molecules are approximately 80 nucleotides in length. Their secondary structure includes four short double-helical elements and three loops (D, anti-codon, and T loops). Further hydrogen bonds mediate the characteristic L-shaped molecular structure. tRNAs have two regions of fundamental functional importance: the anti-codon, which is responsible for specific mRNA codon recognition, and the 3' end, to which the tRNAs corresponding amino acid is attached (by aminoacyl-tRNA synthetases). tRNAs cope with the degeneracy of the genetic code in two manners: having more than one tRNA (with a specific anti-codon) for a particular amino acid; and 'wobble' base-pairing, i.e. permitting non-standard base-pairing at the 3rd anti-codon position. Lineage: Eukaryota; Metazoa; Chordata; Actinopteri; Siluriformes; Siluridae. The record is from RNAcentral. RNAcentral also lists the same sequence under 1 other name.